GCUUAAUUCAGGAUUAAGACAGAGCUUCUCCACUGGCAAAGAAACCUUCAUUUUAUUUCAUAAUGCAACAGAAAGAAAAUAUGACUUCUGGAUUGAAGGGCCCCUCCCUGCAGGAAGAAUGUACACUCCCAUCCUGUAGUUCAGCUUGGCCCUGUAACUCUGGCCAAUGGAGUGCCAGCAGAAGUGAAAAAAGCUGCAUCUGAGAAGUUUAAAGAGUCACACAUUUAUUCCACGACUGCUUCUCUCCUUGUAAGUGUACCUGCCUCCCUGAGUCAAGAAGAUUCCCUGGAGUUGGAAAUGGCAACUGGCUCCAGCUUCAGUAUUCUAGCCUGGAAAUCCCAUGGAAAGAGGAGCUUGGCAGGUGGGUACAAUUCCAUGGGGUCCCAAAGGGUCAAAUACAACAGCAUGAGUAAAAGCACAAGAA
Molecule: long non-coding RNA, 424 nt
Organism: Bos indicus x Bos taurus (hybrid cattle)
Lineage: Eukaryota; Metazoa; Chordata; Mammalia; Artiodactyla; Bovidae
Source: Ensembl